Molecule: long non-coding RNA, 228 nt
Filed under: Mytilus galloprovincialis (Mediterranean mussel)
Lineage: Eukaryota; Metazoa; Mollusca; Bivalvia; Mytilida; Mytilidae
Source: RNAcentral
AAAAGAUGGUGUGCUUUCCUUUUUUCUGUGCCAAAAAUGAUGAAAAAAUACCACCAUGUUAUAAAUGUUUACAGACAUUAAACACCUGGGAUGAUUAUUUUUAAUUAAUAGGAAAUUAUUCACACAGGUGUGUUUCGUGUUUAUCCAAUACCUCUAAUUAAGGUGGGAUAAAAGAAAGACUUCAUAGAAUCAGAAACCACCAAAAAGUAAUUUACUGAUAUAUAUAUA